GACGAACGCUGGCGGCGUGCUUAACACAUGCAAGUCGAACGAAGAGCGAUGGAGGCCUGCUUCUAUCAAUCUUAGUGGCGAAGGGGUGAGUAACGCGUAUCAACCUGUCCUUUUGAGGGGGACAACAGGUGGAAACGACUGCUCUUACCGCAUACGAGCUCAUCGCGGCAUCGAGGAUAGACGAAAGGUGGCCUCUACAUGUAAGCUACGAUUGCGGGUGGGGAAUGCGGCGGAUUAGCUAGUUGGAGGGGCUACGGCCCACCCAGGCGAUGAGCAGUAGACGGGCUGAGAAGAUUGACGGCCCAAUUGGGACUGGGACACGGCCCAGACUCCUUCGGGGAGGAGCAAGGGGGCAACUUCCGCCAUGGACGGAAGUCUGACGGAGCAACGCCGCGUGAGGGAUGACGGGCUUCGGGUUGGAAAGCUCUGUUUAUCGGGACGAAAGGCCUUCUUGCGAAUAGUGAGAAGGAUUGACGGUACCGGAAUAAAAAGCAACGGCUAACUACGUG
RNAcentral lists this ribosomal RNA (509 nucleotides) under uncultured bacterium. RNAcentral describes it as "partial 16S ribosomal RNA". It matches the Rfam family "Bacterial small subunit ribosomal RNA", at positions 28 to 507 of the family's 1533-position model. The record is from RNAcentral.